Molecule: non-coding RNA, 24 nt
Filed under: Arabidopsis thaliana (thale cress)
Lineage: Eukaryota; Viridiplantae; Streptophyta; Magnoliopsida; Brassicales; Brassicaceae
Source: RNAcentral
UGGUAUCUCUAACCAAUGGUUGUG